CAGCAGCCGCGGUAAUACGUAGGGUGCGAGCGUUAAUCGGAAUUACUGGGCGUAAAGCGUGCGCAGGCGGUUAUGUAAGACAGUUGUGAAAUCCCCGGGCUCAACCUGGGAACUGCAUCUGUGACUGCAUAGCUAGAGUACGGUAGAGGGGGAUGGAAUUCCGCGUGUAGCAGUGAAAUGCGUAGAUAUGCGGAGGAACACCGAUGGCGAAGGCAAUCCCCUGGACCUGUACUGACGCUCAUGCACGAGAGCGUGGGGAGCAAACAGGAUUAGAUACCCCUGUAGUCCCUGUCUCUUAUAU
RNAcentral lists this ribosomal RNA (301 nucleotides) under uncultured bacterium. RNAcentral's name for it is "partial 16S ribosomal RNA". It matches the Rfam family "Bacterial small subunit ribosomal RNA", at positions 509 to 809 of the family's 1533-position model. The record is from RNAcentral.